UACAGAGGUCUCAAGCGUUGUUCGGAUUCAUUGGGCGUAAAGGGUGCGUAGGCGGUUUGGUAAGUUGAAGGUGAAAUCUCGGAGCUUAACUCCGAAACUGCCUUCAAUACUGCCAGACUCGAGGACUGUAGAGGAGAAUGGAAUUCACGGUGUAGCAGUGAAAUGCGUAGAUAUCGUGAGGAAGACCAGUGGCGAAGGCGAUUCUCUGGGCAGUUCCUGACGCUGAGGCACGAAGGCUAGGGGAGCAAACGGG
This 253-nucleotide ribosomal RNA is filed under the name uncultured bacterium. Its description in RNAcentral is "partial 16S ribosomal RNA". It matches the Rfam family "Bacterial small subunit ribosomal RNA", at positions 524 to 776 of the family's 1533-position model. The record is from RNAcentral.